RNAcentral lists this long non-coding RNA (6292 nucleotides) under Homo sapiens (human). RNAcentral describes it as "HSALNT0290525". Lineage: Eukaryota; Metazoa; Chordata; Mammalia; Primates; Hominidae. The record is from RNAcentral.
CUUCCCAGCAGGGACUGCCUCCCUCACUGGCCUCAUGUGACCUGUUAAUCAAAUCCUGCACCAGCCCCAUGGAGUUUUCCCAUCACUCAUUGGGGAGGAAGCAGAUGCCCAGGAAACUGCUUAAAUAACCCGUGCAGCUCUGGGAAAGCCCCAGCCCUGGCUCCCAGCAGCAGCCCAGCUCCUCCUGCCCAGAAGCACCAACUGUUCUCUGAGACUGCAAAAAGGCAAUGUUUAAAGCCACACGGGGACUGUGGACGGUGACCUUCAACUCAAGCCUCCAGUGAGCCGCUCCCUGGGGUUACUCACCAUCCGCUUCCACCCCUGGGACUGUGGUUGUUUUAGUUAGAAGACCAGUCCCAGCCUGGAUGACCUGGCACGCUGGGAGACCUCAGGCAAGUUGCUUAACCUCUCUGACUCGGAAAUCUUUUUGGAAGAGAAAAAUGAGCAGAAUUUGGGAAGGAGUAAGGAAGCAGCAGGGUUCAGAGAAUGACCUAGGAAUCGAGAGCCUUUUAACAGCCUUGAAAGCUCUCCCUGGUAACUCUUCUGUCCCUUGCAGCCCAAUCUCUACCCCAAACAAAAAGUUCUAAUCCCGUCAUCCCCUAGCUUGAAACAGUUGACUGGCUCGCAGGGCCCACAAGAUAAAGUACAAGCCCCUAGUACAAUGGACAGAGCUCCUGAGCAGCACCCUCCUGCACCCUCCCUGACAUGGCCCUGCUAUUCCCUCCCCUGAGCCUUGGCACAUGCCUGGAUGCCUCCUGCUUCCUGACCUAACUCUGCCUUUUCCACUGCUUGGCUUGGACACUCCCCUGGGAAGCCUCCUCGGAGUCCCUCCACCUGCAUCAGGCACCGCCCACCCUUCAGCUGUUGCCCAUCCACCUCCCUCACCAGAUUAAGGGGCGCCACACCUUACUCAUCUUGGAAUCUCCAGUUCCUUGCCCAGUGCACAGCAUUCAGUAGGUGCUUAGUAAAUAUGUGUUGGGAGGAGAGGAAUGCAAGGACAGACAAAUGAAAACAAAUGAACAAAACCACAAGCUUUGGAAUCCUCCUCUGCAACACGGGAAUGCCGUGGGCAAACGAGGUGGACUGCCCCCCUUGGUGUGAAUCCUCACUCCCUACACAGUCGUGCACCUGCUGGCAGGUGCACUGGGUCACCUCCGGGCCUCUUUCCGCUUCGAUAAGGUGAGACGCUUAAUAGCACCUGCACCUCACAGACUUAUCGUGAGGACCAGGGGCCGAUCCUCCCCAGGUGUUUAGUUCAGCACCUGGCACUAAAGGUAAGUUCCUUGCACCCAUCUUCCCCUAGCUCCCAGGCUGCCUGCCCUGGCUCCUCCUCCUCCACCAGACUAUAAAUAUAAGAGCUCCCAGAGCUCACCUCCCUGUGGAGGGAUCUCUCCUCUGAAUUGUCUCUCUGGGUGGUCACACCUGUCCCCUUUAUAUGUUAAGGAUGCCCAAGUUUGCAUCUCCAGCCCAGAGGCCCUCACUACCCCCUUGGACUUCUUUGGGGUUUUUUGGCUUUUUUUUUUUCGUUUUUGAGAUGGAGUUUCACUCUCGUUGCCCACACUAUACUGCAAUGGCACAGUCUCAGCUCACUGCAACCUCCACCCUCCUGGGUUCGAGCAAUUCUCCUGCCUCAGCCCCUGAGUAGCUGGGAUUACAGGCGCCCGCCACCACACCUGGCUAAUUUUUGUAUUUUCAGUAGAGAUGGGGUUUCACCUUGUUGCCCAGGCUGGUCUCAAACUCCCAACCUCAAGUGAUCCUCCCGCCUUGGCCUCCCAAAGUGCUGGGAUUACAGGCGUGAGCCACUGUGCCCGGCCUACCCCCUUGGACUUCUAACCAGCCUUUCAAUGUGAACCUGCCCCAAACCUAACCCUUGGUUUCUCCAAAAGCCAUGCUCCUCACUCCCUCUUAACCGUCUCCUUUCAUGACACCACCACUCACUCAGAGACUCAAAAGAAGAAUCUAGAAGUCAUGCUCAGUUCUUCUCUUUCCCUCACCCCUGUGUACAAUCCACCAGAAAUUCCAGUUGAUUCCAGCUGAUAUAUAACCCAAACCCCAGACUUUUCUCCUAUUCCACUGCCAAAUGGGAACCUUUCCUUGCCUUUCCUCUGGUUCCCAGCUCCACCCCUCCACCCUGGCUCUCUACAGCCAGUUCUCCUCCCAGCAGACAUGGGAUCUUUUGCAAAGGUAAAUCAGUCCCUCCCUGCCCUUGACCCUGCAAAUGUUCGUAGUCUUGUUUGCUGGACCAUGGGUUAUUGGAGCGUAAAACUUCACCAUAUCUUUGUACCCAUCCAUCACCCCACAGCACUGAGUCAAGUGCUUCCACAUCAUAGGCACUUGGUAAAUUAUUUUUGAAUAAAUUAUUGGAAAAAGGUGAAUUUCUUAACAGAGUUUUUACUAGCUGGAAUCUUGGAACUAUAUUUCAUUAGUAAAGGUAUUUAUGGGAAGUGGAAAACAAACCUCCGAUGGUUUCCUUUUGCACCUAGAGUAACAGUCCUAACUAACAUGGCCUCUUCCACACCCUCCUAAACAGGCCAAGUUCAUCUGGCCUCAGGGCUUUUGCAUUUGCUGUAGCUCCUACCCGGAAUACUUUUCCCUCAGAUCCUUGCAGGGGGAGCUCCUGCUUGUCAUUCAGGUCUGGCUUAAAUGUCUCUCUUCAGAGAGGCCUCCCUGACCACCUGCAGCUAACGAAUCCUGUACCCCCACCCCCACAUACACCCUCUCUACCCCUCAUCCCCAGUUAUCACCAUCCACCAGUCUGUUUCCUUCACAGGACUUAAUGCAUAACAUGUGGUUACUUUAUAAAUUUGAUGUGUUUGAUUUUUGUCUCCUCCACCAUCAUAUAAGACUCACGAGGCUGGGCACCGUGGCUCACACCUGUAAUCCCAGCACUUUGGGAGGCUGAGGUGGGAGAAUCACUUGAGGUCAGGAGUUCGAGACCAGCCUGGCCAACAUAGUGAAACCCCAUCUCUACUAAAAAUACAAAACUUAGCCAGGUAUAGUGGCAGGCGCCUGUAAUCCCAUCUACUCAGGAGGCUGAGGCUGGAGAAUCGCUCGAACCCAGGAUGCAGAGGAUGCAGUGAGCCAAGAUCAUGCCAUCACACUCCAGCCGGGGUGACAGAGCAACACUCCAUCUCAAAAACAAAAACAAAAACAAAACCACCAGGGCAAGGUUAAUGUCAGCUUACUCACUGUUGUAACUGAAAAGGAUCAGAAUAUGCCAUCCCAGGGCCAGAAGUGGUGGUUCACACCUAUAGUCCCAGCACUUUGGGAGGCUGAGGCAGGAGAAUCAUUUGAGGUCAGGAGUUCAAGACCAGCCUGGCCAACAUGGUGAAACCCUGUCUCUACUAAAAAUACAAAAAUUAGCUGAGUGUGGUGGUGCGCACCUGUAAUCCCAUCUACUCAGGAGGCUGAGGCUGGAGAAUUGCUUGAACCCAGGAGGCAGAGGAUGCAGUGAGCCAAGACCAUUGCACUCCAGCCUGGGCAACAGAGCAAGAUGCUGUCUCAAAAAAAAAAAAAAAAAAAAAAAAAGAAUUAUUUUGAGCUCAAGGUACUUGAGCAGCAGCCAAUACAGGAAGAGCUCUUUGCCUCCCCUUUUCUGCCUAAAAGCAGGGCACACAUUUCCCUUUGUAAAGGUGACAUAAAUUUCCAUUUGCAAAGGUGUACCCCUCUACCUUACUUUAUCUGCAUAACAAACCUUACUAAACCACCCUUAUCUACCAUACAUUUCCUAGUCACUUUCCUGAAAUUUACUGACCCCUAAGAGUCCAAUACUUUUCUUUUGUCUCCUCACUUCUCCACAAUUUAUCGCCCUUUGUUAAAAUGUUACGUAAGCUCCUGGGUCUAACUGCCUCUUUGGAUUUUCAUUUCUUUUCUAUGGAGACCCCUUACAGUAAAAAAAUACAUAUAUAUAGUAACAUUAAAUAAAAUCUAUAUGCCUUUUCUCCUAUUAAUCUGUCUUUUGUCAGUUUAAUUCAUAGGCUCUAUCACAGAACCUAACAGGGUAGAAGAAAAGAUAUUCCUCCCCUACAUGACAAAAGCCAACAUUACUAAGCUUUGACCUGGGCCACGCAAUAUCAUGAGCAUCCUACCUGCCCUUUCUUGUCAAAUCUCCAUGCCUUAUGACACAGCUACUAGUGUUAUCCCUAUUCCACAGAUGAGAAAACAGAUAAGAGAAGGGUCAAGUGAGUUGCCCAAGGCCCAACAUAGAAAGAGCCCCAGCAGGGAGCAGGGUACCCCUCUACUCCCAGCGUCUACUCCCAGAACCCAACACAGCCUCUCCCUUUGUGGGCCCUAAAUAGAUACUUGCCAAAUGAGUAAAUGAAUCACUGAAUACAUGAAUGAUAUGCACCACAAUAUUGAGAGAGGCUGUCUUCAGGUGGCAAAAUGAUUUCCAUUUUCUUCUCUCUGUAUUUUCUCUGUGUUUUCUUCAGUGGUCAUGCGAUACAUGUAUAACUUAAAGUAAAACAAAUGCCUGUUUUAAAAGAAAUUCAAAGGUUGUGGGUAAUGUCUAGGUUCAGGAAUAUUUUUCUUCAAUUUCGGGAGACUGUUAUUUUCCUACUUAAUUUAACCAUUGUUUUUCUAGGGAAAUUGAAUAAAAAGCCCACAUUUCCAAAGCUCACUCCAAGUCUGCCCACUUCAAACAAUGAAGAGAGGGGAGUAAUGAGAGCUGGCUCCCGCCUUGUAUGCUAAUGGCCGGGAUUCUGGGAUGCAUACCAAUCAGCCAGCGACUAGAACCAGGACUUUUACAGAGAGGAGGGCACUCUGGGGCCAGGCUCUCAAGGAGAAAGAGGGGUUCCAAAACUCAGAAAUGCCACCUCAUCUUGGGCCCAACAUGCCAACAUGGGCUGGCACCAUCACAAACCACCUGCACUGCCCUGGACUGGGGAUGUAUCUGCAAGAAGGUGGUGUUGGGGCCUGGUCUGAGACCAUCCUCUCAACCAACAGGCCAGUGGGAAGAUGAACCCCAUGGCAGGGAGCUCAGUGCUGGCUCUAACCAAGAGGUGGGCAGACCCUGGGCCUGUGGCCAAGUGGUCAAUUAUCCUUCCCCAUUUUCCAUAGCAUAUGGGCACUGCUGCUAGGGGCUGUCAAAGGCACAGCCGGGCCAGGCCCUGGGAGGGUUGGCGCUGCUCAAGGAAAGACACAAGAGUGGAGAGGCAGGACUCCGGGGCGAGCAGAAUGUGGUGCUUCUAACUCUUGGUUGCUCAACCCUGGGCAAGUUCAAUGGAGGCAAAACAGAGAUAAUGAUGCACCCCACCUCUUGGAGUAGCUGAGAACUGAGAAAGCUCCCACGAGCCAUGCACUACCAAGGUGCCUGCCACUCUGCAAUUAUGAGCCAUUAGUAUUAGCUCUUUCCUGACACCAGGCCUAGGGAGCCCGUGUGGGUACCAGAAUUCUAUUCUCAUCCUUGCCCCUGAGCCACAAGGUAACAAACCCAGCUAUGACCAGACUGGGCCUUGCCAACACUGAAUUAAAAAAACAUACAUUAACUCCGAACUAAGAAAGGCAAAGUGUGCUGAGAUUCCAGGCAUGUGAUGAAUCUCUCCCUCCCCUCCUCAAAGGGAAAAGGAAAACCGCAUAAAGGAGGGGAGCACGGGACUGCAGAAAGAUCUCAGGGCCUGCCGGGUUCAAAUCCUGCCACUUACAAACACAGUGCCCUUGGAUAAGUCUCUGAGACUCAAUUUCCUCAUCGAUAAGAUCGGAAAAUAGGACGUACUUGCAGGAUCGGCAUGGAAAUUAAAUGAAUUGAUGCAUGAAAAAUAUCUGGCACCUAUAGGCAUAAAGUCAAAAUCAGUUGCCUUUAAGCAAACAAGUUCUCAAUUAUCUGCCUAAAUGAAGGACAGAAGCAGCUUUUCUGGUAUCAAUUAGCAAUGGGGGGAGAACAGGAGACCCCUCUUCCCAAUUAAGUUUUGUGCUUGAUAUUAACAUGGAUUUUUUUUGAGAAUCCACCAGCCACAGAUGCAGGGGCUGGAAGACCAGCAAGCUUCAGGGACAGCAGGAAACUACCAAGAAACCUCAAAGAUUUUUAGGGAAGCAGGGUGAUCCACACAGCACAAGGCCCCUGACAGAGCUCCUGUGAUUUGAGGGCAAUUUACAACCUCUAUCACCAAAGCAGGCCCUGCCCAGCAGCUGCCCCUCAGCAAUGAGGACACUAAGAUCAGUCCUGGAGCGCCAUCACACCAAAAUGCUGGAGUACAAUGGCACAACCUCGGCUCACUGCAACCUCCGCCUCCUGGGUUCCAGCAAUUCUCCUGCCUCAGACUCCCGAGUAGCUGGGAUUACAGGCAUGGGCCAC